Molecule: RNA transcript, 8766 nt
Organism: Haemorhous mexicanus (house finch)
Lineage: Eukaryota; Metazoa; Chordata; Aves; Passeriformes; Fringillidae
Gene: NEK7
Gene name: NIMA related kinase 7
Exons: 11
Source: RefSeq, a predicted model, not a curated record
CCGGUGCCAGCGCCGCCCGCCAGGAGCCCCGCUAGGCGCCCGCUGCCAGCGCCGGCGCGGCACCGGGCUCGAGGCGCCGGAGAAGCCGGGGAGGAGCGGGGGCCGGUCCCGGUCUGCCGCGCCAGGAGCAGGCGGAGCCAGGCUGCUCGGACAUAAGGGAAAUUGCUGCUUGAUAGAAUGGAUGAACAAUCACAAGGGAUGCAGGGGCCUACUGCUCCACCAUUUCAGCCACAGAAAGCCUUACGACCUGACAUGGGCUACAACACCCUUGCCAAUUUCCGAAUAGAGAAGAAGAUUGGCCGUGGGCAGUUCAGUGAAGUUUACAGAGCAACCUGCCUGCUGGAUGGGGUACCAGUGGCUCUGAAGAAGGUUCAGAUAUUUGAUUUAAUGGAUGCCAAAGCCCGUGCUGACUGCAUCAAAGAAAUAGAUCUUCUUAAGCAACUGAAUCAUCCAAAUGUAAUUAAAUACUAUGCCUCAUUCAUUGAAGACAAUGAACUGAACAUAGUGUUGGAAUUAGCAGAUGCUGGAGAUCUCUCUAGAAUGAUAAAGCAUUUUAAGAAACAGAAGAGGUUGAUUCCUGAAAGAACAGUUUGGAAGUACUUUGUUCAGCUUUGCAGUGCCUUGGAACAUAUGCAUUCUCGUCGUGUUAUGCAUAGAGAUAUAAAGCCAGCCAAUGUGUUCAUUACAGCUACAGGAGUAGUAAAGCUGGGGGACCUUGGACUUGGUCGAUUUUUCAGCUCCAAAACCACAGCUGCACAUUCUUUAGUUGGUACACCUUAUUAUAUGUCUCCAGAGAGAAUACAUGAAAAUGGUUACAACUUCAAGUCUGACAUCUGGUCUCUAGGCUGUCUGCUGUAUGAGCUUGCAUUUUUAACAUUCUUUUUAAGAUGGCUGCACUGCAGAGUCCCUUUUAUGGUGAUAAAAUGAACUUGUACUCUCUGUGCAAGAAGAUAGAACAGUGUGACUACCCACCUCUCCCUUCAGAUCACUAUUCAGAGGAACUGCGACAAUUAGUUAAUAUGUGCAUCAACCCGGAUCCGGAGAAGCGCCCAGACAUCACCUACGUGUACGAUGUAGCGAAGCGCAUGCACGCUCACACCGCCAGCAGCUGAACUGCCAGCGAGCCCCGAAAGGAGCAACAAGAACCAAGUGCUUGCAAUAAAUCCUCCCACCUCCCCGUGUGUGUUACACAAAUGUAAUUAUUUGAAGCUUACUGUUGUGCUUUGAAUUGUAAACCAAUUUAUAUACAAGCUUUGUUGUUUUCUGUUCAUUUCUGGGGUUUGUAUUUUUUAUUAACUUGCAGCCGUACAACAGGUUUAAAUAUAUAAAGUGUAAUUUUAAGAUGCUGUGAACCGCUGUUUCCAUGUUAGUGGGUUCAAGUAUACUUUCUGUAAUAAAAUUGUAUUCAGUUGGGCCUCAGUUCUAAAACACAGUUGCACUUUUGCACAUGAUACAGAUAUUAGGCUUAUUAUUGAGAAGCAAAAUGUCUGAAUCUCUCACCUUUUUAGUAAUUUAUGGAAAGUAUGAAUCAGCACAGUUAACUUUAUUUUAAUCUUUGUUCCAAGAGGAACAUAAUUAUUACAGGAGCUUAUUGUAUUUUAUAUUGAAUUGUAGUUUGCAGUUCUUGCUGUAAGAGUAGACAAGGAAUAGAAUUAGUUCUCUGCUUGCCAAAUGCAAUGGAAAAAUAAUUUCAGGAAAAAUUGUCAUGCUGAAAUUUUUGUAAUGUCCCCUUUUGUUUUGUUAGUCUCUCCUAAUACACAGAACAUUUGUUGGAGGUUUUCUGGGAAGAUUUAAGGUGUUGAUUCAGCAAUCGGGUCGUUUUCAAUAGACUUGUGCAGCACUGCCCUGGGGCGAUGGGAGUCUGCAUAGUUCAGUCUUAAAAACAUGCAGAUGCUUCUUGUAGCCAAUAGGGUUCUUUUGUGGCUGUCCUUUGAGCAGGUCUGAUUAAAAGAUAUGUGAUCUUUAAGUUACAACUUCCCAGCUGUUUGUGUAUAUGUCACUGUUUGUAGAUUUUUGUGUUUAAAAUAAUUUGAAUGACCUUACAGUAUAUUUAAAUUUAAAUUUUUUUUUCUAAAUACUGAAAUGUUUUGGCAAAGAUAUAAUAGUCUAGUAUAACACAAAAUGUAUUCUACAUAAAUAUAUGAUCUUUGUAUACUAUAUCUUGAGACUUAGUUUUAUAUUUAGCAGAAGUAGAUUAUAGCUUUAUGUUUAAGAGAAAGUUGCCACGCCUUAAUUUGGAAAAUAAUUAUAUAUGCAAACUAUCUUACAGAUACUUUAUUAGUUUAAAAGGAAAUGCUGAAUAUUUUUGUUAGACCUUAGUGCCUUUUGGGGUAUGCUUAUAUAAUAUUUUCAUUGUUAAGGAAGGAAUGUGUCUUGUUUUUAAAUGUGGUAAAAAUGGAGAGUGAAAUGAAAUUCCUUGAGUUUCAAGACUGACCUUUUUUUAUGCGAUUGUCAAAACGUAAUUUUUAUCAGUGAUAGCAGCUAGGGAGCUGUUAAUGUCAGUUAAGUCUUUUUCUUUAUGUGGGUAAAAAGUUAGUUCAAAUAAAAGCAGAAGUAUGUACAUACAUAAAUAGGUUCUAGAUGCGGUCACAUCCCUCAUUCUCAGAUUUUUUUUUUUUUGCUGGUUUGUUUCUCUGUGCAGCUGUAAUUUUUAUUUGAUGUAACACUCAGAAUAAAAAAGCAUUUGUGGAGUUUGUGUUCAAGGGAGAGGGGUCGGGGUUGUUUUUUUGGUUUUGUAUUUUUUAAAACUACAAAUACUAUGAAAGUUGUGUUUGGAAAAAAAGAAGGGGGGGUGGCAUUUUUAGAUGGUAUGUGCCAGAUCAUCAGCUUAUCUUAAUACAUACAUUUUUAUUUUUUGGUUCCAGGUUUUGUAGGACAAAUUGUAUGAAACUGUAGUUUUAUUUCUCACUUCUGUGUGCACUUAACCUUAUAGAACUUCAGUGGAACAGUUUGUUGGAAAGAAGUAUUUGAGAAAUUUUGGUUUAUGUUUAGCAACCUCUAGAUUUAUUUUCAUUUAUUAAAUGGUUAUAUAAUUUAAAACAUGAUGAUUAUAUUUUGUAACAAUGUUUCACAUGUCAUAGAAUGAAGUGCUUUGUAUUGAAAAAGGCAGCACAAUAUUUGCUUGACUCCCAGAAUUAGUUCUUACUAUGCACAAGAACUCAAAUAUUUUUUUUUUUUUUCUGAAAUGUGCUAGAACAUUUAAAAUCACCGAAAAGCCCCCAAAUGCAAUGCAGGCUGUUUGUGUCUAAUAUUACUCAUGAAGUAUUGAACUUUUCCUGCUAGAAACUGCUGACAGAUAUCCCUCCCCUGGAAGGGUAUGUUGAGUAAAAGAAUCAUGAGUUAAGAGUUAGCAAAUGUGCACACUUAAGCAUUUAAUUUUUUUUAACAAUGUGGGGUUUUUUUUAGUAUUUAUGAUUAAAUAUUGUGCUGAGGAAAAGAAAUAGUUGUUCCUGACUUAAAAUCUGUGAAAUGAAUGGUGCACCUGACUUUGGUACCAAACUCUGUGAUUAAAAAGCCAAUGUGGGUUAACAGAACUGCUUACAUGAGUGGGGAUUGUAGAAUCUCUCCCUAAAGUGAAAUACCUGGUAACAUGAAAAUGAUGUCUUGUUACAACACUCCAGUGUAUGCUAUGUGCUUAUAAAGUAUUUUCUUUUCUGAACCACCAUCCUGUUUUUCAUAUGUUGAUGAUAACAUUUGGCACUAUUUAUUUUAAGCUAUGGCAUUAUGUGUUUAUUUUCUUUAAAGAAAAAAUUUUACAUUUCUACCCAAAAUGUCUGACCAGCUCCUCCUUUUAUUUCAGUAAUGCUCCAGUAUUAACUUGUGUCAGGAGUGAACUUUUUGUGCUUUGAAUGACAUUGCAUAAAAUCCCUUUGUCUCAAAAGCUCCCCUGCUGUGCCGUAAUCCAAUAGAAAUAAAACAUACAGAUAUUAAAUGUAAUGUAAAAAUUAUAGUGUUUCUAUUAUAUUUUUCAAACUUUUCUUUUUUAGAGAUAUAUAUGUUACAGUAGAUGCUGCCUAUCGUGUGGACAACUUACUGCUUCCAGUAGUUGAUUCUAGGUGAGAUUUCUUGACUGUAACAAAAGUUAGUACACUAAAAAACGAUUCAUUUUUGUAUUAUUUGUUAAAAGAUUAUCUAAAAAUACUAUAUCCAAUAUGUUGUGUGUUUUAAACGAAAAUUUUAAGCUAAAUUUAAAAUAAUUUUCAAUACUAAAAUAUGUAAUAAAGCAAAAAAGUAACAAAGAGCUGCUAUUAUGGCCCCAGUCCUGUCCAGUGAGCUCUUGUUUAUAUUUCAGCUGGUUUUUAUGUAAUUUCAGUUAUUUUGAGUGAACCACAUCCACACACAUGAAUAAACAGUAAUCACUAGGGUAGAUAGAAGUGAUGUGCUCAGCUCACUUUUUAUUCUCUGUGCGUGUCACUGGUUUGGUAGCAGGGAAUAAUUUGGGUUUUCUCCCCUGUUUUGUUGCACUCCUAAUGAUCCCGCUCCCAAUUGUAUGAGCAGGCAAUAGAAGUGUGUUGUCUUUUUGUAAUGAGCAGGAACUUUAAAAACAUGCCAGUAUAGCAGAAGAUGAAAUGCAGUAUUAGAAGUGUCUGAGAAGGCUGGUGUUUUAUUCAUGCUCAUGAUUAAGAAAGCCGUGGAGUGAAAUUCUUGACAGAGGCUUGGAAAUGGAGAACUUUUAUGCCAGUGGUUCUCAGAUAACUCUGAAUGGGACCCAAAAUUGCAGUGAUGUUUGUUUGCAGCAAUCUGUCUGCUUAAUCUCUUAUCUUUGCUGUUACACAGUGCGGUGAGACUCUAAGGAGCUGAGCUGGAGUGUUGGUGAAUGCUGCAUUGGCUGUGUUAGCUGGUAGGAGCAGGAGGUGAUGUGAGGGAGAGCCAGCGAAGGCUACCUGGUCUUGUUUUGUGAAGACAUAAAGGUGCUGGAUGGCAGAGGUCAAAUCACUGGGAUUUCAUAAAUUUUAAUAGUCUUUAAUAGUCUUUAUCUACUUCAACAGUCUAAAUUUUCCCAACCCAGCCAUAUGUCCAUAUUAUAUAGCCAGUGGCAGUGUUGGCAGUGCCCUUUGGAAUUUCUGAUCUCUGGUUUGAUCUGGGUGAGUAAAUCUUUCUGACAAGGAGGGAAAUAGAGGUGCAGACCCUUCUCGGUGGGGUGCUACUUACGUUUCUGAACAUUACUCAAAUAUAGAUGUUUAGAGUUGUUUUUUAAACUUUAUUCCCUUCUCUGAUGUUUUUAAAAAGUGGUUUCCAUUCAUAUUCAUCACUAAAGUUCUGUGACCCCUGGCUUCUGCUUUAUUAGUCCUGUUGUCAGCCUUACCCUCCUCCUGGUUUGAAGUCCUCUGUCUAAUUUUCCUAGUGGUCAUUAGUUUGCAUCUUUCUUUGUGUAUUUGCUAAACUCAGCCCAUUUCAGUGUUUUCAAAUUUCAUCCCUCCCCAUGGGCAAGGCCAGUUCCUUUCCCCUGAUGAGUACUUUAAUCCUUUGUUCUUCAUUCUGUUUUUCCAGCCCAAUGCCUGUGAUUUCUAGUUUUAGAUAGAUUUUUCUUACUGCCUCAAUCAUUCCCAUGACCUUGUCUUUGCUAAAUACUGUUCACUUUAUUAUCUCUCAUUUCUAAAUUCCCUUUCUCUGAUCACUACCUGCUCUCUUUCAGCUUAUCUGUCUUUCUCUCUCCUCUACCCUGUCACUCACUCCUUUUGGGAUCUCCAGUCUAUUAACCUUUUUGACUCCUUCGUCUUCACUGCUGCCUCCUUCCUUCAUUGGCCUCACUUCUUUUUACUCACUGGUCUUUAUUUUUAUCUCUAUCUGCUUCUCUGUACAUGGUUUCUUUGGCUGCUUCUCACACUACCCUGUGUCCAUUCCUCCCUCCAGACAUAUUCUCUUGUAAGUUCUUAAUUUCCAUUCCAGCCUUUCUGAAUAUCUGAAGAGUGUGUCAGCACAACACAGCUUUGGACUCAGCUUUGCCUUACCUGCUUCAAUGCUCUCCCCAGAUGGACUUUUAAAGCACUUUUAUCUCACCUUUUUUUUCUCUUGUUGAGCUUGCUUGCAGAUCUGCUGUUCAUAUUCAUUCUCCAUCCAUUCUUGAUACAAAAUCUUCAAUCCUGAUUUUGUUGCUUGACAAGAUCCUUUCCAAAGUUGUUUUUAUUCUCAGGAUCUGUUUCUGAGCUGAGUUUCUCUGCCUCUUAACUUUGCAAGUUUGCCCCUUUUAUUUCUGUAUCUUUUAUGUGUCUCAUUCCUUCCACUGAAUUCCUUCCUUCAGUAGCAACCUUUCACUGAAUUCCUUCCUUCAGUAGCAACCAAGUGUCUCUUUUCAUCUGUCUUUAAGGGGGUGGCACCAUUGUCCUAACUGUUUCUGGUUUUUAAUACUUGGUCCUUUUUUUCUCUCUCUCAUCUGAUUUCAUGUACCUAAACACCCUCUCUCCUGUUUGUUUUUGGAUUUUUUUAAUGUUGCACUUCAUUUGAAUGCCCCAAAAAUCCAGUGCUUCUCCCCCCUAGUCUGGUUCUCCCAUGGUUCUGUCUCUGGAUUAUUCCUUUAGGAUCCAGCCAGCCUCAGACCUGUUCAGAUUCAAAGAUGUAAUUUUUAUUUCUGACUCCCUCUAGACUAUUUUCUAACAUCCCUGACAAUUUUACUUGCCUGUUUUCCAAGGCCACAACCUUUCUAUCUCUGGCACUUCUCCCAUGCCUGCGUAUCAAAUGUCUCAGAUAUAUCAGAAUCCAGCCCUCUUCACUAUCUGUUCUUUCUUACCUUUUAUCUUCACUGAUUUAACCUCUGUGUCAUUUUGGCUUCUUUUCUGCCUUCAAAGUAUCAAAAUUGACAGGACUAAACUGUCAUUGGGCUUUCACUGUUUUGUGUGCUGAAGAAGGAACUCCACCAAAUUACUACUUGUUUUGUGUUCUAAAGAGACUUGAAUCCCACAAAUCUGAUCUUAUUUCAGUACUGUAGAGUUGGAACAGAUUGCUUCUCCAAGUAUGUCAGAAGUCCUUGAAUUUGGGCCUUCAGUUUUCUGUCAUUUCAGAUAAAGAGAUUUUUCCCUUAAUUGCUUUGUAUUUACUGUGUGUAACUUUGUCUUGUUGCUGCACUUACAGCUAACAGUUGUUUUCCUGCUUCAGCAACUUGAUUUCAGUGCUUUUAACUAUUGCUUGAAAUAAGAAGGUGCCUCAGAGCUUCCCUGGCUGGGCCCAGAGUUGGGCACAAGGCUCCUCUCUUGCUGUGCCCCCAGACCGUCCCGGUGCAGGAGCGAGCUCGGCGCUCUGCUGCUCCUCUACCCACGCUGCCCCAACCCAAAGCCAAACCAAAGCUGCCUCUGUGGUGGCUGCAUGGUUUUCUGUGGGGGUGCAUGGUCUGACUUCACAAUUUAGCAGGCUUUCAGAGGUGGGGGGUUGUGUGUUUGCAGAGAUUCACUGUUGGUUAAAUUGUCUGGCCUUGACUGCUCAUAAUUAGCCUUAGAUAUGUUGAGAUUGAGAAACAAAAAUCUCUGUAAAACUGAAAAGUUUUCUGGUUUGGAACUGGGGGUUAUAGAGCUGAAUGUUACAUUUGCUGUGGGUAUACACACAUUUGUUGACUUUUUAUUUACACCAGGGUAAUUAUCUUCUUUUAGAGGAUCAGUUGUUUGCUGGCACAAAAAAAAAAUCUAGUGCUUUUCAGGUUUUAUAUUUAUUCCUUGUUGCCUGCCUGUAUCACAUUGUGCAGUUAGUUCUUCUGCAGCUGCCUUAGUGGUGGGUGUUUGCCUUAGUUCUUUUGACAGAAUUGACAGAAAAUUGCAAUUAGACAAUUUCCUAUUAAAAAUAGCAAAUUGAGUCCUUCCUGGUAGUUUCACUUGCUUUUCAUUUAAACCCUAGCAAUAGAUAGAGGUCUCAGCCAGGAAGAGAAAUGCUCCCCAGGAUAAAACAGAUGUUCUGGGACUCCUUACUUCCUUUCCAGCUCCCAGUCCCUGUUUCUCUGGCUUCCCUGGAAUACUUGCAGGGAAUAUGGCAUUGCCAGUGUAUCAAGGGCCAAUAGAAACUUUCUCAGUGUGGACAGGAAAUCUCCCAGUUGAAAAUUACUAGGAAUAUAUUUAGUAUUGUUAUACAGCUGAUAAUUGCCAAUGUGUAAAGAGCAAUUUAAAAAAUCUGUGUUUGCUGUUACAAAAAGAAUUUUAAAGUAUGCAAAGGCUUUUUAAUGUGGUGUUGGUCUUCAGUAGACCUUAUUUGCUGCUUGUUCCUGUGAUUUCAGUCAUGCUGGACUGUUGUCAAGAUGAUUCAUUAAAGAUGAGUGUUGUUUUUUUGUUGGGAGUUGGGAAAACAGGAGGCAUUCACUGAUUUGUUUGUAUUUGGCUGCUGACUGUGCUUGAAUCAAAUUUUAUAAUCAUUCAGAUUGGAAUGGACAUUGAGACAAGUCUCUAGUCCAGCUUCCUGCUGAGAGCUGAGUCAGUGCUGAAUUCAGGGCAGAGCUUCAGACUUCAGCAAGACCUAGAAACCCUCAAGGGAGGGUGACUGAGCAGCUUCUGUGGGCAGCCUGCUCCAGUGCCUCACUGUAAACCUUGCCUUGUGUGCAGCCAGAAACUCCUCAGUUACAAGCUGUGGCCAUUCUUUGUCCUUCUGCCACUCCUCAAUUGUUCUUUAUAUUGCAAAAAGGUAAGUCAAGUAUUGGGACAAAGAGAGAACUUAGGAUGUUUUAUUUUCUGGAAUUUGUUUUUGCUAACAAAUAUGUUCACGUAGUACUUCUGCUCCUGUAUGACGUGUACACCGUAUUCAUUUGCAACUCGAGUGUAAAAUAAAACUUUUGGCAGUAAAACUUGAUACAAA